This 900-nucleotide ribosomal RNA is filed under the name uncultured Flavobacterium sp. Its description in RNAcentral is "bacterial SSU rRNA". It matches the Rfam family "Bacterial small subunit ribosomal RNA", at positions 8 to 918 of the family's 1533-position model. The record is from RNAcentral. Lineage: Bacteria; Pseudomonadati; Bacteroidota; Flavobacteriia; Flavobacteriales; Flavobacteriaceae.
AGAGUUUGAUGCCUGGCUCAGGAUGAACGCUAGCGGCAGGCUUAACACAUGCAAGUCGAGGGGUAUAGUAGCAAUACUAGAGACCGGCGCACGGGUGCGUAACGCGUAUGCAACCUACCUUUUACAGAGGGAUAGCCCAGAGAAAUUUGGAUUAAUACCUCAUAGUAUAUGUUUUUCGCAUGUUAGACAUAUUAAAGUUCCAACGGUAAAAGAUGGGCAUGCGUCCUAUUAGCUAGAUGUAAGGUAACGGCUUACCAUGGCAACGUAGGUAGGGGUCCUGAGAGGGAGAUCCCCCACACUGGUACUGAGACACGGACCAGACUCCUACGGGAGGCAGCAGUGAGGAAUAUUGGACAAUGGGCGCAAGCCUGAUCCAGCCAUGCCGCGUGCAGGAAGACGGUCCUAUGGAUUGUAAACUGCUUUUGUACGGGAAGAAACACUCCCUCGUGAGGGAGCUUGACGGUACCGUAAGAAUAAGGAUCGGCUAACUCCGUGCCAGCAGCCGCGGUAAUACGGAGGAUCCAAGCGUUAUCCGGAAUCAUUGGGUUUAAAGGGUCCGUAGGCGGUUUGUUAAGUCAGUGGUGAAAUCUGGUCGCUCAACGAUCAAACGGCCAUUGAUACUGACAGACUUGAAUUAUUGGGAAGUAACUAGAAUAUGUAGUGUAGCGGUGAAAUGCUUAGAUAUUACAUGGAAUACCAAUUGCGAAGGCAGGUUACUAUCAAUAUAUUGACGCUGAUGGACGAAAGCAUGGGGAGCGAACAGGAUUAGAUACCCUGGUAGUCCACGCCGUAAACGAUGGAUACUAGCUGUUGGGCACAAGUUCAGUGGCUAAGCGAAAGUGAUAAGUAUCCCAUCUGGGGAGUACGUUCGCAAGAUGAAACUCAAAGGAAUUGACGGGG